CCCAGACUCCUACGGGAGGCAGCAGUGGGGAAUAUUGCACAAUGGGGGGAACCCUGAUGCAGCGACGCCGCGUGGGUGAAGGAGCGUUUCGGCGCGUAAAGCCCUCUCGGCAGGGAAGAAGGAGGACGGUACCUGACUAAGAAGCCCCGGCUAACUACGUGCCAGCAGCCGCGGUAAUACGUAGGGGGCAAGCGUUAUCCGGAUUUACUGGGUGUAAAGGGGGCGCAGACGGCAGCGCAAGCCAGGAGUGAAAGCCCGGGGCCCAACCCCGGGACUGCUCUUGGAACUGCGCGGCUGGAGUGCAGGAGGGGCAGGCGGAAUUCCUGGUGUAGCGGUGAAAUGCGUAGAUAUCAGGAGGAACACCGGUGGCGAAGGCGGCCUGCUGGACUGCGACUGACGUUGAGGCCCGAAAGCGUGGGGAGCAAACAGGAUUAGAUACCCCAGUACG
This 448-nucleotide ribosomal RNA is filed under the name uncultured bacterium. RNAcentral describes it as "partial 16S ribosomal RNA". It matches the Rfam family "Bacterial small subunit ribosomal RNA", at positions 330 to 793 of the family's 1533-position model. The record is from RNAcentral.